GAUGAACGCCGGCGGCGUGCCUAAUACAUGCACGUCGAGCGAACGGACGAGAAGCUUGCUUCUCUGUUGUUAGCGGCGGACGGAUGAGUAACAAGUGGAUAACCUACCUAUAAGACUGGGAUAACUUCGGGAAACCGGAGCUAAUACCGGAUGAUAUUUUGAACCGCAUGGUUCAAAAGUGAAAGACGGUCUUGCUGUCACUUAUAGAUGGAUCCGCGCUGCAUUAGCUAGUUGGUAAGGUAACGGCUUACCAAGGCAACGAUGCAUAGCCGACCUGAGAGGGUGAUCGGCCACACUGGAACUGAGACACGGUCCAGACUCCUACGGGAGGCAGCAGUAGGGAAUCUUCCGCAAUGGGCGAAAGCCUGACGGAGCAACGCCGCGUGAGUGAUGAAGGUCUUCGGAUCGUAAAACUCUGUUAUUAGGGAAGAACAUAUGUGUAAGUAACUGUGCACAUCUUGACGGUACCUAAUCAGAAAGCCACGGCUAACUACGUG
This 497-nucleotide ribosomal RNA is filed under the name uncultured bacterium. Its description in RNAcentral is "partial 16S ribosomal RNA". It matches the Rfam family "Bacterial small subunit ribosomal RNA", at positions 28 to 507 of the family's 1533-position model. The record is from RNAcentral.